Molecule: ribosomal RNA, 256 nt
Filed under: uncultured bacterium
Lineage: Bacteria
Description: partial 16S ribosomal RNA
Rfam family: Bacterial small subunit ribosomal RNA
Source: RNAcentral
GCAAGUCGAGGGGCAGCAGGUUCGAGUUUACUUGGAUGCUGGCGACCGGCGCACGGGUGCGUAACGCGUAUGCAACCUACCCACUACAGGGGGAUAGCCAUUGGAAACAGUGAUUAAUACCCCAUAAUGCAUUAAUCUCACCUGGGAUUAUUUGCUAAAGAUUUAUCGGUAGUGGAUGGGCAUGCGUAAGAUUAGCUAGUUGGUAGUGUAAUAGACUACCAAGGCGACGAUCCCUAGCUGGUCUGAGAGGAUGAUC